GGGGAUUUAGCUCAGCGGUAGAGCGCUUGCCUGGCAAGCACAAGGCCCUGGGUUCGGUCCCCAGCUCCG
This 69-nucleotide transfer RNA is filed under the name Rattus norvegicus (Norway rat). It matches the Rfam family "tRNA". Rfam says of the family: Transfer RNA (tRNA) molecules are approximately 80 nucleotides in length. The record is from Rfam by way of RNAcentral. Lineage: Eukaryota; Metazoa; Chordata; Mammalia; Rodentia; Muridae.